Long non-coding RNA from Monopterus albus (swamp eel), 1140 nucleotides. RefSeq lists it as uncharacterized. The record is from RefSeq and is a predicted model, not a curated record. Lineage: Eukaryota; Metazoa; Chordata; Actinopteri; Synbranchiformes; Synbranchidae. The transcript has 4 exons.
UGUACGCCCUUUGGGUUCGUUGGUGUGUUGCGAGUGAAGUGGAUUGACUUGGAUUUUGUACAAACCGCCAGCCAAUGGGAGCCGCAGGACCGAGCUGAGGUCUGUCUCCGUCUCCGUCUCUCACAUUGGAGGGGAGGAUUUCUUUCUCUUUUUUUUUCUCCCUGGGAAACAAAUGUCUCCUGCUACUUUUUUGACGCACAGUCCUCAGCCAAUGGCAGCGACAGGGCGGCUGACAACAUCCACACCCCACCGCGGGGAGAACAUUGAAAAUGAACGGAUGACGAGAAGUGGAGUUUAAACCAAACGAAAAACACAUCAACCUGAUACAGGCCUGCAACCCCCCUCCCGCCCCCAAAAGCACCCAGAACAUUUACAGGGGGAUUCCCACCGUGACACACCGAGCAACCGAGAGACACCACCGGACCUGCGGUGCGCAAACCCGCAAGGAGGAAAAAGGCAGAGAAUAGACAAGUGGCGUCAAGACGAAGAUGUGGAAGAAGAUGAAAGGCUUCUUUAUACCAAGAUUUGGAUCAGAGGACGCGUUUUUGUGGAUCCCUGGAUUUCAUUUAACAACAGCACAGAAGUCUGAGGAGGGAAAGUUUGGGUGUGAGCCUGCAGGAGCUGCAACACAUCCAGGAGUUUGCCAACAGACAAACGGAUGCAAUUAAACGCAUUCGCCUUCAGAUCAUCAAUGAGGAGGCAAAGACAAGGCAUGUGGAGAAGUGACAAGGACAAAUACAAGGCGAGAAAAGACACCGAAGAACUCUUCCUAACACACCCCGGAUAGUUCUCGCUUCUUCUACAAGGACGAACAUUUUUUCAUAUAUUUCAUAUUAAUUGUGCUCAUUUUCAAGAUAUUGUUUUUGUAUCGCUGCCGAAGAAUGAAGCAAAAUUUGUUUACUUUCACAUUUCUGUCUCUCUUCUUGGAUUGAACUUAAUUAAACAGUUAUUUGCCACUAAAUAUGUCCAUGUUGAUAUCACUGUCAAACCGCCGCCCUGCUUCCUCCCCCUCUCUCCCUCUCUCUCCCUUCACCUGGCCGUCAGUAGCCGUCUCCUCUGUGCUGAGGUGUUUGCAUGGCAUGGUAAAACCUGCCCUGCAGACCGGACCUCUCAAGUCUUCAAAGGAGGAAGAACUCAAUG